CUUUUACCUCACAAAUAUUCUCAAUUUCUCAUACUCUCUCUUAAUAUUUUUAUACUCUGUCUAAAUAUUUAUAGUUAUUGUAUUAGUUAGAGUAGAAAUUUUUUUAAGGAUAUUACAAGCUUCAAUUAUCAUCUUUUAAUUCCGAUAUUUGGUAUACGUCUGCUUUUACGCAGACGUUCGGUAUAUUCGUUCCAAAUUUAAUCUCUUUUUUAUUUACUUUAAUAUCUAUAUUUUAUUUUUUAGUAUCUACAUUUGUUUACUUACAUUAAUUUUUGAUUUAUAAUAUUUAUAUUGCUUGUUUUAAUAUUUUAAUUUUAUUUAAAAUGGUCAUGAACAAACCAGAGAACAAAAACAGACUUCUCACCAAAACUGGCCAUAAGAUAUAUAUUUAAAUAAAGACCACUAUCUUAUGGCACAUUUCUUUUUUUAACUGAUGGAUAUAUUUAGAAUAUAGGUACACACAGGCAUGUGCAAGUAAAAGAAUUUCACAAGUUUGACCAUUCAUCAGAAAAUCAAAAAGUUCCACAAGAAGCAUAAACCAUCCACUAUGAAGGGAAUAUUGUGGGGCCAAAAGCUGCAAUUAAAACAGCAAUAACCUGUUGGCAAUAUUGCAAUUCCCUUGUCAUAUUGAGCUAUUACACAUUUUGGGUAUUCACUGACAACCAUGCGCAUGUGAGUUCUGCAAAAACAAAGUCAACUUCAAGCCCGCAUAAAGGAUCAUUUCCGUAGGUUGGAGGCCAGCAUACACAUAGCCCGACUAUGAUGAAUCCUCCAACUAUGCGUGGACCUAAAUAAAGCUGAAUAGAUAAAAUUAAAUGUUUUGUUGGAGAAGAGGAAUUAGAAAAAGACGUAAGGCUUGGAAUUUUGUCCCUCUUGCGUUGAUGUGGGUUGUUUGGAUAGAGAGAUAUAGAAGAACUUUUGAGGGGGUAGAGUCUAGUUUUUCUCAGGAGGAGAAAGGAAUUCAAAGGUAAUAUAUAAACACAAGUACGUACAAAGGAUUUAUUACAAGUACGAGAAUAGUAGAAAGAAUAUAGAGGAGCUUCCACAACCAUAUGUUUCCCUAGAGAUCUUCCGAGAGCCCCUACAGCCCUACUUGCUACGGAUGAGCUAAUUACUAGUAGAUAAGAUGAGAUUCUAUCAUGCAUACUAUCUGCAGAUGAUAUUCUAUUAAUGGCCUGCUAAGCAAAUAACUGUAGUUGCACGAGAUUCUGUUCCCAGUACCCACCUCCAUGGUUUCAACUAUGCACUUGUAAUUUCAUAGAGCAUCUUCAAUGGAUAUUUCUGGGCAACAACAGCAUGUCAAUCAAUUGCAAAUUCUAUAGUGAUGGAUUUUUCCUUGACGAAGUCACCGAACAUCAUACUAUACAAGGAGUUGCGCGUGGAGUCCAACAAAUGUGCAGUAAAAUCCUAUUGAAAUUAACUGCCGCGAAUCAGACUACUAAGGAAUCAUAGAGAGAUUCAACUGAAGCAAGAGGAGAAAUAGCUAAGCUACUAGAGACUGGUCAGGAAGCUACUAUUGGAAUUCGGGUAUAAACUAAUCAUGUUUUGCUUAAAUUCCUCAAUCAAUGCUAAUAUCAUUUUUGCAACGCUCUGUGUACGCAUUUAUAUACUGAAAGGUAACCAAGUAUUUUGAUAGAUGAUUUUACAGUGCGAUGAUCUUGGUUCUGUUGUUUGCUUAUUUAGUGAGAGAAGAGAGAAUGAUGGCAACAUAGGAGAUAGCCGAGCUAUUCUGUCAGCUAAUACAUGUUCCGUCUUCCAAGUACUGAAGCACAAAGAUAAUGAGUUAUCUCUGUUGUGUUGAUGUUUUGGACCAAAAACACGAGCGCAUAUGUUUAUUCUUGCCCGAAUAUAGAUUCUGGUUGGGUUUCUAUCUCUGGGUUGACCCGAAAAACUCCAAAAUUCCCUCUCUUCUCAAUAACCUAACCCCCAUUUAAAUUGCCCUAAGCCCCCAAAAUAAAUUAACUCUCCAUUUUUCUUCGGCCAAUCACCGGUACAAAAUCCUUCGACUUCCUUGCCAGUAAACCAGUCACACCGAAAAAACAAAAAUCUAUUACCCAGUGAAAAACAGGUUGAGGAAAGUCAUCGUAUAUUGUUCUCAUCGAAAUGAGUCACUGAGUCGACUUGGAUAACUUGAGAAAGUCGGACUUAAAAUGAUCUCUGUGUUUAUUUUUCUGAAAAUUGAUGCGUUUGCAGCUUACUUUGCUUUUCUUUUUUUUUUUUUGUGUGUGUUGAUGCAGUUUGGGGAGUUUGCUAGCUGAGCUGAAAGUUGACAAGAGUAGCAAAGAGUGAAUUUUGUGAGGGGAAUGAGCUUGAGUUCUCCUCAUUCCUACUGAUCACGGUUACUGCUUGCUUGAGAGUUUUGGAGGUGUUACUUUUGAUUGGUUGCAUUGGCCAGAGUCAUUGAGUAUAGAUAAAAUCACUUGAUGUGAAAAAAGACAUUGAUUUGUUGAAGUUGCACGCACAAUCCACAUCUCUACAAUACUUUUGAAGAAA
Capsicum annuum is the source of this 2493-nucleotide long non-coding RNA. RefSeq lists it as uncharacterized. Lineage: Eukaryota; Viridiplantae; Streptophyta; Magnoliopsida; Solanales; Solanaceae. The record is from RefSeq and is a predicted model, not a curated record. The transcript is spliced from 4 exons.